UAGUCCACGCCGUAAACGAUGAUAACUAGCUGUUCGGGCCCACAGGGCUUGAGUGGCGCAGCUAACGCAUUAAGUUAUCCGCCUGGGGAGUACGGUCGCAAGAUUAAAACUCAAAGGAAUUGACGGGGGCCUGCACAAGCGGUGGAGCAUGUGGUUUAAUUCGACGCAACGCGCAGAACCUUACCAGCUUUUGACAUCCUGGUCGCGGAUUUGGGAGACCAUUUCCUUCAGUUCGGCUGGACCAGUGACAGGUGCUGCAUGGCUGUCGUCAGCUCGUGUCGUGAGAUGUUGGGUUAAGUCCCGCAACGAGCGCAACCCUCAUCCUUAGUUGCCAGCAUUCAGUUGUGCACUCUAGCGAGACUGCCGGUGAUAAGCCGGAGGAAGGCGGGGAUGACGUCAAGUCCUCAUGGCCCUUAUGGGCUGGGCUACACACGUGCUACAAUGGCGGUUACAGUGGGCAGCUACACAGUGAUGUGAUGCU
Molecule: ribosomal RNA, 481 nt
Filed under: uncultured bacterium
Lineage: Bacteria
Description: bacterial SSU rRNA
Rfam family: Bacterial small subunit ribosomal RNA
Source: RNAcentral